This 250-nucleotide unclassified non-coding RNA is filed under the name plant metagenome. RNAcentral's name for it is "partial contains small subunit ribosomal RNA, internal transcribed spacer 1, and 5.8S ribosomal RNA". The record is from RNAcentral.
GUAGGUGAACCUGCGGAAGGAUCAUUAGUGAAAAAAACUUGGUCGAGCUGUUGCUGGUCCUUCGGGACAUGGUGCACGCUUGCCACCAAUUUUAACCACCUGUGCACCUUUUGUAGACUUGGAAACGUUUCUCGAGGCAACUCGGAUUGAGAACUGCUGCGCGCAAGCCGGCUGUUCUUGUGUUUCCCAGUCUAUGUUUUCAUAUACUCCAAAUGUAUGUAUCGGAAUGUAUUGCUGGGCCUUUAGUGCC